UUUGGGCGUGUCUCCCUUCUUGGGAAACUCUCUCGACCCCACGAACCCUUGACCUCAAAUCGGGUGAGACUACCCGCUGAACUUAAGCAUAUCAAUAAGCGGAGGAAAAGAAACUAACAAGGAUUCCCCUAGUAACUGCGAGUGAAGCGGGAAAAGCUCAAAUUUAAAAUCUGGUGGUCUU
RNAcentral lists this ribosomal RNA (181 nucleotides) under Lactarius subpurpureus. RNAcentral's name for it is "partial 28S ribosomal RNA". The stretch from base 50 to 181 matches the Rfam family "Eukaryotic large subunit ribosomal RNA", at positions 1 to 132 of the family's 3401-position model. Lineage: Eukaryota; Fungi; Basidiomycota; Agaricomycetes; Russulales; Russulaceae. The record is from RNAcentral.